AAGCGGUGGAGCAUGUGGUUUAAUUCGAAAGCAACGCGCAGAACCUUACCAGCCCUUGACAUCCCGGUCGCGGGUACCAGAGAUGGAACCCUUCAGUUCGGCUGGACCGGAGACAGGUGCUGCAUGGCUGUCGUCAGCUCGUGUCGUGAGAUGUUGGGUUAAGUCCCGCAACGAGCGCAACCCUCGCCCUUAGUUGCCAUCAUUAAGUUGGGCACUCUAAGGGGACUGCCGGUGAUAAGCCGGAGGAAGGUGGGGAUGACGUCAAGUCCUCAUGGCCCUUACGGGCUGGGCUACACACGUGCUACAAUGGCGGUGACAGAGGGACGCAAAGGAGCAAUCCUUCGCAAAUCUCAAAAAGCCGUCUCAGUUCGGAUUGGGGUCUGCAACUCGACCCCAUGAAGUUGGAAUCGCUAGUAAUCGCAGAUCAGCACGCUGCGGUGAAUACGUUCCCGGGCCUU
This 458-nucleotide ribosomal RNA is filed under the name uncultured Xanthobacteraceae bacterium. RNAcentral's name for it is "bacterial SSU rRNA". It matches the Rfam family "Bacterial small subunit ribosomal RNA", at positions 927 to 1382 of the family's 1533-position model. The record is from RNAcentral. Lineage: Bacteria; Pseudomonadati; Pseudomonadota; Alphaproteobacteria; Hyphomicrobiales; Xanthobacteraceae.